CCCUAUUAUAGAAGAUGGUGUAAAUAUUAGUAUAGGUGAAAUUUAAAAAUUUUGGCGGUUAAUUUUUUUCUAGAGGAGCUUGAAAAUUUAUAGAAUCAACUCUUUUUAUUUUAAUAGUAUUAUUAUUUAUUCAUCUCCGUUAUCAAAAAAUUUUAGAUAAAUAUUAUUUAGUAUAUCAGGUCAAGAUGUAGUAUUUAUUAUAAUUUUUUAGCUACAUUUUAAAAUAAUGGAUAAUUGAAAUGAAAUUUUAAUUUGAAAUUGAAUUUAGUUGUAAUAUUUAUUAGAAAGUAAAUAUGAAUUUAAAUAAUUAGUGUA
This 315-nucleotide ribosomal RNA is filed under the name Parampheres bimaculatus. RNAcentral describes it as "partial 12S ribosomal RNA". The record is from RNAcentral. Lineage: Eukaryota; Metazoa; Arthropoda; Arachnida; Opiliones; Gonyleptidae.